Molecule: ribosomal RNA, 253 nt
Filed under: uncultured bacterium
Lineage: Bacteria
Description: partial 16S ribosomal RNA
Rfam family: Bacterial small subunit ribosomal RNA
Source: RNAcentral
UACGAACUGCGCGAACGUUAUUCGGAUUCACUGGGCUUAAAGGGUGCGUAGGCGGCUUGUUAAGUGGGAUGUGAAAUUUUGCGGCUCAACCGUAAGACUGCAUCUCAUACUGGCAAGCUGGAGUGAGUCAGGGGUGUGUGGAACUGCCAGUGGAGCGGUGAAAUGUGUUGAUAUUGGCAGGAACGCCGGUGGCGAAAGCGACACACUGGGGCUUAACUGACGCUGAGGCACGAAAGCCAGGGGAGCAAACGGG